This 1223-nucleotide long non-coding RNA is filed under the name Equus caballus (horse). Its description in RNAcentral is "lncRNA (ENSECAG00000046203.1)". The record is from RNAcentral. Lineage: Eukaryota; Metazoa; Chordata; Mammalia; Perissodactyla; Equidae.
GAGGGGUUUGGGGGAGAAGAAGAAGGGAAAAAAAAAAAGAUUGGCAACAGGUGCCCAUCUUUAAAAGAAGAAAAGCCACUUACAUGUCCAUCAAUGAGGGACUACCGUAGGUGCUAGGGACACAGAAGCGGUGGCUGCCCCUCAUGGAGUUUCAUUCCGGUGCACGUCUGACCUCGCUGCAGUCUCUGUCUUACUCUAAAGCACAGCUCUGUGACUUGCAUUCUGGAAUCGCUCCACUGCUCCCUCAGAUGGUAUCAUGGAGAGAUCAUAAAAUUAGCAGGAACAGCUAAGAGGAGGACCAGCUAAGCUGUGCACCCACCAAGGAUUCUCCCACAUCUGGCCCAUCAGGGUCACUGUCAAACACCUCUUCUGGAAAAUUCCACUUGAAUGUCCCCUUCUCUUGACAGCACUCAACUGACUGCCCUUGGUCUCUUCUGACUUGCACAUUUCUGGUUGCAUAAGCUGAGCUUGGAGAAAUGCUUCUGGCCCCUUGGAUCUUCGCAGCCUGAAUUGAUACUACUUGCUAGCAUACUGAAUGGACUCUCUCCCUGGCCUUCAGUUUUGCUAACUUCCUUGAUCUUGGUGUUUCCCCGAAGCCCGAGGUCCACAGCUGGUGUGUGUUUAAGCUGACACUGGAAGCCAGGUCUCCUGACUCAUGAUACGUGAUGCCAUUUAAACUUAGAAAUCUGCAGUUCUUGGCUAGAAGGCGAAACUUGGUUGAGGAGGUAGACCUGUUGGCCCUUAAAUGUGAAGAGAAUUAAUACAACAGAACCACAGGAUAACUAAGGUCCAAGAUCACAAUUUCCCCUGUGGAUGGUUCUUAAGAAAUAAAACUCGAAGUGAUUGUUAGAACUCCUGAAAUAACAGAACAAUGGACUAACUUUCCUCCUUCUGAUGGAUUCUAGCAAUCUAUGGAAUGACCUCCAGAGAAGUGGAUGAUGUAGAGCAUGGGAUGUGGAAAAUCUGCUCUCCAAAGUCCAAGCGUAGAUCUUUGCAGGAAACGUAAUCUCAGUUGUAUAUCUUAGUUGCACGUCCUUCUAGCUGUGGGACGCUGCCUCAACGUGGCCUGACGAGCAGUGCCAUGUCCGCGCCCAGGAUCUGAACCCUGGGCCGCUGCAGCGGAGCACACGAACUUAACCACUCGGCCACGGAGCCAGCCCCAUGAAGUUUCUUUUCUUGAUUAUAGCUAUAUCAGAAACUCUCAGUUUAUUGAAGAAGUUAUG